GUGGGGAAUCUUGCACAAUGGGGGAAACCCUGAUGCAGCGACGCCGCGUGAGCGAUGAAGCCCUUCGGGGUGUAAAGCUCUUUCGACGGGAACGAUAAUGACGGUACCCGAAGAAGAAGCUGCGGCUAACUACGUGCCAGCAGCCGCGGUAAUACGUAGGCAGCGAGCGUUGUUCGGAAUUACUGGGCGUAAAGAGUGUGUAGGCGGUGCUGUAAGUCUGGUGUGAAAUCUCCCGGCUCAACUGGGAGGGUGCGCUAGAAACUGCAGUGCUUGAGUGUGGGAGAGGUAAGCGGAAUUCCUGGUGUAGCGGUGAAAUGCGUAGAUAUCAGGAGGAACACCUGUGGUGUAGACAGCUUACUGGACCACGACUGACGCUGAGACACGAAAGCGUGGGUAGCAAACAGGAUUAGAUACCCUGGUAGUCC
RNAcentral lists this ribosomal RNA (425 nucleotides) under uncultured bacterium. RNAcentral's name for it is "bacterial SSU rRNA". It matches the Rfam family "Bacterial small subunit ribosomal RNA", at positions 354 to 796 of the family's 1533-position model. The record is from RNAcentral.